Molecule: non-coding RNA, 35 nt
Submitted as: unclassified sequences
Source: Rfam
UUUCAUCGAAGGAUGUUGACCUUAAUUCAUGAUAA